Molecule: ribosomal RNA, 771 nt
Filed under: Clostridium perfringens
Lineage: Bacteria; Bacillati; Bacillota; Clostridia; Eubacteriales; Clostridiaceae
Description: partial 23S ribosomal RNA
Rfam family: Bacterial large subunit ribosomal RNA
Source: RNAcentral
ACGUGAAACCUUGUGGGAAGCAGGGAGGACCACCUCCCAAGGCUAAAUACUACCUGAUGACCGAUAGUGAAGCAGUACCGUGAGGGAAAGGUGAAAAGAACCCCGGGAGGGGAGUGAAAUAGAACCUGAAACCGUGUGCCUACAACCGCUCAGAGCCCCUUAUGAGGGUGAUGAGGUGCUUUUUGUAGAACGAGCCAACGAGUUACGGUAUGUAGCAAGGUUAAGUACUUAAGGUACGGAGCCGAAGGGAAACCGAGUCUGAAUAGGGCGACUAGUUGCAUGCCGUAGACCCGAAACCGGGUGACCUAUCCAUGGCCAGGUUGAAGCGAGGGUAAAACCUCGUGGAGGACCGAACCACGUUGCUGUUGAAAAAGCAUGGGAUGAGCUGUGGAUAGCGGAGAAAUUCCAAUCGAACCCGGAGAUAGCUGGUUCUCUCCGAAAUAGCUUUAGGGCUAGCGUCGAGUAUGAGUAGUGGAGGUAGAGCACUGAAUGGGCUAGGGGGCAUAGCGCUUACCGAACCUUAUCAAACUCCGAAUGCCACAUACUUUGAGCUCGGCAGUCAGACUACGAAUGAUAAGAUCCGUGGUCAAAAGGGAAACAGCCCAGAUCGUCAGCUAAGGUCCCAAAGUGUAAGUUAAGUGGGAAAGGAUGUGAGAUUUCUAAGACAACUAGGAUGUUGGCUUAGAAGCAGCCAUUCAUUAAAAGAGUGCGUAAUAGCUCACUAGUCGAGAGAUCUUGCGCCGAAAAUGUAACGGGGCUAAACUUACCACC